This 438-nucleotide ribosomal RNA is filed under the name uncultured bacterium. RNAcentral describes it as "partial 16S ribosomal RNA". It matches the Rfam family "Bacterial small subunit ribosomal RNA", at positions 339 to 795 of the family's 1533-position model. The record is from RNAcentral.
CUACGGGAGGCUGCAGUGGGGAAUAUUGCACAAUGGAGGAAACUCUGAAGCAGCAACGCCGCGUGGAGGAUGACACUUUUCGGAGCGUAAACUCCUUUUAUAUAGGAAGAAGAUGACGGUACUAUAUGAAUAAGCGCCGGCUAACUCCGUGCCAGCAGCCGCGGUAAUACGGAGGGCGCAAGCGUUAUUCGGAAUCACUGGCGUAAAGAGCGUGUAGGCGGAUUAAAAAGUCAGAAGUGAAAUCCUAUAGCUUAACUAUAGAACUGCUUCUGAAACUCUUAAUCUAGAAUAUGGGAGAGGUAGAUGGAAUUUCUGGUGUAGGGGUAAAAUCCGUAGAGAUCAGAAGGAAUACCGAUUGCGAAGGCGAUCUACUAGAACAUUAUUGACGCUGAGACGCGAAAGCGUGGGGAGCAAACAGGAUUAGAUACCCCAGUAGUC